Small nucleolar RNA from Oncorhynchus gorbuscha (pink salmon), 184 nucleotides. RefSeq annotates it as small nucleolar RNA SNORD17. The record is from RefSeq and is a predicted model, not a curated record. The transcript has a single exon. NCBI's taxonomy places the organism in Eukaryota, Metazoa, Chordata, Actinopteri, Salmoniformes, Salmonidae.
GUGAGAUGAUGAUCGUGUUUAUCCAUUCUCUGAGUGCUUGCUAGGGUCCUACUUUCUCUGUGGUGCUCAUGCCUGUUUUAGCCACUCUUGCCACCUCAGUGUUCUACUGGGGCAGCUUGUGGUGGAGAAAGGGGUAGGACUGGAGGGCCCUGCAAAACAAAGACGAGUUGACACACCUGAUCAC